Molecule: ribosomal RNA, 1967 nt
Filed under: Rhinebothrium sp. 9 Healy et al. (2009)
Lineage: Eukaryota; Metazoa; Platyhelminthes; Cestoda; Rhinebothriidea; Rhinebothriidae
Description: SSU rRNA
Rfam family: Eukaryotic small subunit ribosomal RNA
Source: RNAcentral
CUAUGGUUUAUUGGAUCGUACCCGUUAAAUGGAUAACUGUAAUAACUCUAGAGCUAAUACAUGCCUUGAUGCCCUGACCCUUCUUCUUCUCGAGGUGGGGGAUGGGUGCACUUAUUAGAUCAGAAGCCAACCGUGUAGCAGCGCAAGUUGUUGCACGUUGUCCUUCUGGUGACUCUGGAUAAUUGUUACAGAUCGCAGUCGGCCUUGAGUCGGCGACGGGUCCUUCAAAUGUCUGCCCUAUCAACUGUCGAUGGUAGGUGACCUGCCUACCAUGGUGAUAACGGGUAACGGGGAAUCAGGGUUCGAUUCCGGAGAGGGAGCCUGAGAAACGGCUACCACUUCCAAGGGAGGCAGCAGGCGCGCAAAUUACCCACUCCCAGUACGGGGAGGUGGUGACGAAAAAUACCGAUGCGGGACUCAUCAUAGAGGCCCCGUAAUCGGAAUGAGUGAACUCUAAAUCCUUUCACGAGGAUCAAUUGGAGGGCAAGUCUGGUGCCAGCAGCCGCGGUAACUCCAGCUCCAAUAGCGUAUAUUAAAGUUGCUGCAGUUAAAAAGCUCGUAGUUGGAUCUCGGUUAUGCCCUUGACCCAUCUUGCCUGACGGGUAUUCACUCCAGUUGGUUAUGGCUACACGCUGUGCCCUGGGUGUGCUGCGGAAGGUGAGUGUGGGGCUACUUGGGUUUAACCUGUCAGCCAUGUCUGUGGUGAAAUAUCUACAGGUGUAGGCGAGUGUCAGGCGGUGCUUUGCAACAGUAAGGCCCGUCGGCUCGUUUGCAUGCCUUUGGAUGCCCUUUAAAAGGUGUCUGUAGGCGGAUGGCACGUUUACUUUGAACAAAUUUGAGUGCUCAAACCAGGCCGAUGUUGCCUGAAAAGUUUUGCAUGGAAUAAUGGAAUAGGACUUCGGUUCUAUUUCGUUGGUUUUCGGAUCCGAAGUAAUGAUCAAAAGAGACAGGCGGGGACGUUUGUAUGGCUGCGCUAGAGGUGAAAUUCAUGGACCGUAGCCAGACAAACUAAAGCGAAAGCAUUCGUCAAGCAUGUUUUCAUUGACCAUGAGCGAAAGUCAGAGGCUCGAAGACGAUCAGAUACCGUCCUAGUUCUGACCAUAAACGAUGCCAACUGACGAUCCGUGGUGGUAGUUAUCAACCUUCCCCACGGGCAGUCCCCGGGAAACCUUUAAGUCUUUGGGUUCCGGGGGAAGUAUGGUUGCAAAGCUGAAACUUAAAGGAAUUGACGGAAGGGCACCACCAGGAGUGGAGCCUGCGGCUUAAUUUGACUCAACACGGGAAAACUCACCCGGCCCGGACACUGUGAGGAUUGACAGAUUGAUAGCUCUUUCUUGAUUCAGUGGUUGGUGGUGCAUGGCCGUUCUUAGUUGGUGGAGCGAUUUGUCUGGUUAAUUCCGAUAACGAACGAGACUCCAGCCUGCUAAUUAGUGUGUCCGUCCACUGUUCCUGUGUAGGCGGCGUUCGACAUGACUGCCUUUGUUUGCUGGUGUAUUCAGGGUGCUGGCGCAAGUUGGUGCCCUGUUGCAUUGGUUAGAAGGCGGUCGGCUCGUCGUUAGCCUCCGGGUACGGCGCGGAUGCUUACUUCUUAGAGGGACAAGCGGGAGAAGCCGCACGAAAUUGAGCAAUAACAGGUCUGUGAUGCCCUUAGAUGUCCGGGGCCGCACGCGCGCUACAAUGACGGUGCCAACGAGUCUGACCUUCUGGCCCGAAAGGGUUGGGCAAACUGGUCAAUCACCGUCAUGACAGGGAUCGGGGCUUGGAAUUGUUCCCCGUGAACGAGGAAUUCCUAGUAAGUGCAAGUCAUAAGCUUGCGCUGAUUACGUCCCUGCCCUUUGUACACACCGCCCGUCGCUACUACCGAUUGAAUGGUUUAGUAAGGUCAUUGGAUUGGCGCCAUUGUGGCGAUUGCCGAAAGGUAGUCGUCCGACGUGUGCUGAGAAGACGACCAAACUUGAUCAUUUAGA